Molecule: long non-coding RNA, 645 nt
Organism: Pseudomyrmex gracilis
Lineage: Eukaryota; Metazoa; Arthropoda; Insecta; Hymenoptera; Formicidae
Exons: 3
Source: RefSeq, a predicted model, not a curated record
UUACACACCAGGCACGUUGCACGCAUGUAAUUUUGCGCGAUUAUUCGUCCGCGUGCAUUCUUUCGAAAGAAAGAGAAAGGGAGGGAGAGAAAAAGAUGGACCCCGGUAUCUCUUGGCCGCCAACCUCGCACGAGCUGUCCGAGACGUAAGGGCUCACUUUGGACAGCUUAACCGCUAUGAAUAAAAAAAAGGAGAGGAAAACCCGCGUCAAGUAUAUCGACAAUGAAAAUGUGGAAAUUAUCGAGCUGCACGCGCCGCUGCCGGAAGGAAAGCUGAAGAAACGAGGGAUGACUGGGGAGGGGGAUGGAACGAAGAAAUUUCUCCCGCAAGAAGAAAUAGAUGACUGACUCCAACUAUGGCGUAUUAUACAGAUUAAUUACCUAUCUCGUGUCUGGAAGGGAGGAGAAAGGGGACAUUAUUUAUCUCUCGGAAUCCCUCCCUAUUCCUAGGAAGUAACUCUGACAAUCGGCUAAAAAAAAAACAUCCCUCUGUAUCUAACAUUGUAUAUCGUAAAUACUUUCGAGUGUUGUUUCGUUCUGAGUUAGUACAAAUUAAGAAUUAUGUAAAUGAAAUAAGAGAUCGCGAAAUUUGCUUAUAAUUAUAAAUCGUGCUGUGGCACAAUUUUAUAUCACUAUAUGUCUUCUA